AUGGAGGAGCCAGAGUCCAGCCGGGCCCCGUCCGUCUUCCCCUUGGCUUCCUGCUGCAAAGACGCCACUGCCGCCUCAGUCCUGGUGCUCGGCUGCCUGGUCACUGACUUCUUCCCGGAGCCUGUGGCCGUGACCUGGGACAGAGAUGUCCUGAAGGACAGUGUGGUCACCUUCCCCACCUCCCUUCACUCCUCCGGCCUCUACACAACCGUCAGCCAGCUGCAAGUCCCGGGCUCUGAGGCCUCGAGGACCUUCACCUGCAGUGUGGCGCAUGGGGCAUCCCCGCCCUCUAACAGGACCUUCUCAGCAUGCCAUGAGGACGUCUCCGGUCCCACCGUGAAGCUCUUCCACUCCUCCUGCAACCCCAGCGGCGACACCAGCACUCCCAUCCAGCUCCUGUGCCUCAUCCGGGGCAUUCCUACCGACCAAAUUAAUGUCACCUGGCUGGUGGAUGAGCAGGAAUCCAGCAGCAUAACCCCCUACGUGGCCCCCCUGAAGCAGGAGGAUGGGCUGUCGUCCACCUACAGCGAGGUCAACAUCACCCAGGGCCAUUGGGUCUCGGAGAGCACCUACACCUGCCGGGUGACCUACGAAGACCACAUCUUUGAGGACCAUGCCCGCAAGUGCUCAGACCCUGAGCCCCGCGGCGUGCGCAUCUACCUGAGCCCGCCCAGCCCCUUGGACCUGUACGUGCUGAAUUCGCCCAAGCUCACGUGCCUGGUGGUGGACCUGGCCCAGGCGGACGGCAUGAAACUCAGCUGGCUGCAGGGGAACCGCACCCCCACUGAGAAGGCCGUGGAGCUCAGGAAGCGGCACUACAACGGCACCCUGAGUGUCACGUCCACCCUGCCUGUGCUCACCCAGGACUGGGUGGAGGGUGAGACGUACCAGUGCAUGCUGGAGCACCCCGACCUGCCCAGGAAGAUCGUGCGCUCCCUCACCAAGGCCCGGGGCCAGCGGGCAGCCCCCGAAGUCUACGUGUUCCAGCCGCCAGAUGAGGGUGAGGCCAGCGCGGACAAGGUGACCCUCACCUGUCUGGUCCAGAACUUCUUCCCUGCGGACAUCUCGGUGCUGUGGCUGCGGAACAACGUCCCCGUGGGCGCGGAGCAUCAGACCACCACGGAGCCGCAGCGGACCAGCAGCCCCCGGCCCCGUUUCUUCGUCUUCAGCCGCCUGGAGGUGGCCCGGCGGGACUGGGAGCGGGGGAGCACCUUCUCCUGCCGGGCCGUGCACGAGGCACUGCCCCAGCCCCGCACGCGGGACCAGUCGCUGUCCAAGGCGCAGGGUAAAUGA
Non-coding RNA from Sorex araneus (European shrew), 1293 nucleotides. The record is from the annotation of a RefSeq genome assembly. Lineage: Eukaryota; Metazoa; Chordata; Mammalia; Eulipotyphla; Soricidae.